UGCGGAGGAUGCGAGCGUUAUCUGGAUUUAUUGGGUUUAAAGGGUGCGCAGGCGGGCUGUUAAGUCAGCGGUGAAAGGCCCGGGCUCAACCGGAGCAGUGCCGUUGAUACUGGCAGUCUUGAAUGCGGUCAAGGCCGGCGGAAUGUGGCGUGUAGCGGUGAAAUGCAUAGAUAUGCCACAGAACACCGAUAGCGAAGGCAGCUGGCCUGGCCUGCAUUGACGCUCAGGCACGAAAGCGUGGGGAUCAAAC
Molecule: ribosomal RNA, 250 nt
Filed under: uncultured prokaryote
Description: partial 16S ribosomal RNA
Rfam family: Bacterial small subunit ribosomal RNA
Source: RNAcentral